RNAcentral lists this RNase P RNA (208 nucleotides) under Elusimicrobiota bacterium. RNAcentral's name for it is "partial RNase P RNA component class A". It matches the Rfam family "Bacterial RNase P class A", at positions 1 to 267 of the family's 367-position model. From Rfam's summary of the family: Ribonuclease P (RNase P) is a ubiquitous endoribonuclease, found in archaea, bacteria and eukarya as well as chloroplasts and mitochondria. Its best characterised activity is the generation of mature 5'-ends of tRNAs by cleaving the 5'-leader elements of precursor-tRNAs. Cellular RNase Ps are ribonucleoproteins. The record is from RNAcentral. Lineage: Bacteria; Pseudomonadati; Elusimicrobiota.
GAAGUGAACCGGAUGGUUGCUCCGAUAUUUAUCGGAGAGGAAAGUCCGAACUCCACAGGGCGGAGUGUUCCGUGAAAACGGAAGGGGAGUAAUCCUACGGAAAGUGGCACAGAAACCAGGUACAGGUAAUGCUGUAGUGAAAAGGCUAAACCCCACUCGGAGCAAGACCGAAUAGCAGAGAAGAGACGGCCCGUCUCGCUACUACUCU